Molecule: small nuclear RNA, 21 nt
Filed under: Arabidopsis thaliana (thale cress)
Lineage: Eukaryota; Viridiplantae; Streptophyta; Magnoliopsida; Brassicales; Brassicaceae
Description: snRNA_08416
Source: RNAcentral
GGUAAAUAACAUUUUCUGAAA